UGGGGAAUAUUGCACAAUGGGCGCAAGCCUGAUGCAGCAACGCCGCGUGAGGGACGACGGCCUUCGGGUUGUAAACCUCUUUUAGCAGGGAAGAAGCGAAAGUGACGGUACCUGCAGAAAAAGCACCGGCUAACUACGUGCCAGCAGCCGCGGUAAUACGUAGGGUGCAAGCGUUAUCCGGAAUUAUUGGGCGUAAAGAGCUCGUAGGCGGUUUGUCGCGUCUGCUGUGAAAACCCGAGGCUCAACCUCGGGCCUGCAGUGGGUACGGGCAGACUAGAGUGCGGUAGGGGAGAUUGGAAUUCCGGGUGUAGCGGUGGAAUGCGCAGAUAUCAGGAGGAACACCGAUGGCGAAGGCAGAUCUCUGGGCCGUAACUGACGCUGAGGAGCGAAAGGGUGGGGAGCAAACAGG
This 409-nucleotide ribosomal RNA is filed under the name Acidobacteriota bacterium. RNAcentral describes it as "Acidobacteria bacterium partial 16S ribosomal RNA". It matches the Rfam family "Bacterial small subunit ribosomal RNA", at positions 355 to 776 of the family's 1533-position model. Lineage: Bacteria; Pseudomonadati; Acidobacteriota. The record is from RNAcentral.